CUUCCUCUGCAGUGUGAGCCUGAUGUGAAUCCUGCCUAGCAACAGUCGCACAGCAGCCAUUUUGACGCUUGUUGCAAGUGUGAGCCUGAUAUGAAUCCUGCCUAGCAACAGUUGCACAGCAGCCAUUUUGACGCUUCUUGCAAGUGUGAGCCUGAUAUGAAUCCUGCCUAGCAACAGUCGCACAGCAGCCAUUUUGACGCUUGUUUCAAG
Molecule: long non-coding RNA, 210 nt
Organism: Nerophis ophidion (straightnose pipefish)
Lineage: Eukaryota; Metazoa; Chordata; Actinopteri; Syngnathiformes; Syngnathidae
Exons: 3
Source: RefSeq, a predicted model, not a curated record